GAUGAACGCUGGCGGCGUGCCUAAUACAUGCAAGUCGAGCGAACAGACGAGGAGCUUGCUCCUCUGACGUUAGCGGCGGACGGGUGAGUAACACGUGGAUAACCUACCUCUAAGACUGGGAUAACAUCGGGAAACCGGAGCUAAUACCGGAUAAUAUAUUGAACCGCAUGGUUCAAUAGUGAAAGACGGUUUUGCUGACACUUAUAGAUGGAUCCGCGCCGCAUUAGCUAGUUGGUAAGGUAACGGCUUACCAAGGCGACGAUGCGUAGCCGACCUGAGAGGGUGAUCAGCCACACUGGAACUGAGACACGGUCCAGACUCCUACGGGAGGCAGCAGUAGGGAAUCUUCCGCAAUGGGCGAAAGCCUGACGGAGCAACGCCGCGUGAGUGAUGAAGGUCUUCGGAUCGUAAAACUCUGUUAUUAGGAAAGAACAAAUGUGUAAGUAACUAUGCACGUCUUGACGGUACCUAAUCAGAAAGCCACGGCUAACUACGUG
Molecule: ribosomal RNA, 497 nt
Filed under: uncultured bacterium
Lineage: Bacteria
Description: partial 16S ribosomal RNA
Rfam family: Bacterial small subunit ribosomal RNA
Source: RNAcentral